Molecule: non-coding RNA, 69 nt
Organism: Ictidomys tridecemlineatus (thirteen-lined ground squirrel)
Lineage: Eukaryota; Metazoa; Chordata; Mammalia; Rodentia; Sciuridae
Source: Rfam
GGUGCUGUAGCUCAGUGGCAGAGCGCUUGCCUAGCAUGUGUGAAGCACUAGAUUCGAUUCUCAGCACCA